GAUGAACGCUGGCGGCGUGCCUAAUACAUGCCAGUCGAGCGAACGGACGAGAAGCUUGCUUCUCUGAUGUUAGCGGCGGACGGGUGAGUAACACGUGGAUAACCUACCUAUAAGACUGGGAUAACUUCGGGAAACCGGAGCUAAUACCGGAUGAUAUUUUGAACCGCAUGGUUCAAAAGUGAAAGACGGUCUUGCUGUCACUUAUAGAUGGAUCCGCGCUGCAUUAGCUAGUUGGUAAGGUAACGGCUUACCAAGGCAACGAUGCAUAGCCGACCUGAGGGGGUGAUCGGCCACACUGGAACUGAGACACGGUCCAGACUCCUACGGGAGGCAGCAGUAGGGAAUCUUCCGCAAUGGGCGAAAGCCUGACGGAGCAACGCCGCGUGAGUGAUGAAGGUCUUCGGAUCGUAAAACUCUGUUAUUAGGGAAGAACAUAUGUGUAAGUAACUGUGCACAUCUUGACGGUACCUAAUCAGAAAGCCACGGCUAACUACGUG
RNAcentral lists this ribosomal RNA (497 nucleotides) under uncultured bacterium. RNAcentral's name for it is "partial 16S ribosomal RNA". It matches the Rfam family "Bacterial small subunit ribosomal RNA", at positions 28 to 507 of the family's 1533-position model. The record is from RNAcentral.